Molecule: ribosomal RNA, 762 nt
Filed under: uncultured bacterium
Lineage: Bacteria
Description: bacterial SSU rRNA
Rfam family: Bacterial small subunit ribosomal RNA
Source: RNAcentral
AUUGAACGCUGGCGGCAGGCUUAACACAUGCAAGUCGAACGGUAACAGGAAGAAAGCUUGCUUUCUUUGCUGACGAGUGGCGGACGGGUGAGUAAUGCUUGGGAAUCUGUUUCAUGGAGGGGGAUAACUACGGGAAACUGUAGCUAAUACCGCGUAAUAUCGAGAGAUUAAAUGUGUGGGACCGUAAGGCCACAUGCCAUGAAGUGAGCCCAAGUGGGAUUAGAUAGUUGGUGAGGUAAUGGCUCACCAAGUCGGCGAUCUCUAGCUGGUCUGAGAGGAUGACCAGCCACACUGGGACUGAGACACGGCCCAGACUCCUACGGGAGGCAGCAGUGGGGAAUAUUGCACAAUGGGCGCAAGCCUGAUGCAGCCAUGCCGCGUGAAUGAAGAAGGCCUUCGGGUUGUAAAGUUCUUUCGGUGGUGAGGAAGGUUGACGUGUUAAUAGCACGUUGAUUUGACGUUAGCCACAGAAGAAGCACCGGCUAACUCCGUGCCAGCAGCCGCGGUAAUACGGAGGGUGCGAGCGUUAAUCGGAAUAACUGGGCGUAAAGGGCACGCAGGCGGUGACUUAAGUGAGGUGUGAAAGCCCUGGGCUUAACCUAGGAAUUGCAUUUCAUACUGGGUCGCUAGAGUAUUUUAGGGAGGGGUAGAAUUCCACGUGUAGCGGUGAAAUGCGUAGAGAUGUGGAGGAAUACCGAAGGCGAAGGCAGCCCCUUGGGAAUGUACUGACGCUCAUGUGCGAAAGCGUGGGGAGCAAACAGG